CGUGGCUUUCUUUCUCAGCGGAAAUGUUGCCAUCAGUUCUUUUUGGGAUAUCAAUAAUUUGGCAAGAAAGAAAGUCUCCAUCAAUGUAUUAUAGAGACUGGGGGACAAAAAUCUGAGAAAUGCUACCUAAAUUCCUGCAGGAUGCAUGCAGAUGUUCACAAAGAACGUACACUAAGCAAUUCAAAAAGCCACAGAAUCAUGCAUGCUGAGCGCACACUUGCCUACAUAAGGAGCAGCACUUUGACCUAGAAGCCAGGGACCAGGAAGGCAGUAAGAGAGAAAGAAACAGGGGAUGUUGAUUCCCCUGUUGUCCUUUGCACCCCUCUACUUAGUAGAUCUAACUUAAGUUGUUCAGUGGGCAAAAGUCCAGUGUACUCAGUAGCUCCAAACCAACAUUUAGUGUCAAAAAGGUAUUUGGGGCCAAGUGUGGAGGCUCACGCAUGUAAUCCCAACACUUUGGGAGGCCGAGGCGGGCAGAUCACCUGAGAUCAGGAGUUCGAGACCAGCCUGGCCAACAUGGUGAAACCCCAUCUGUACUAAAAAUACAAAAAUUAGCCGAGUAUGGUGGUGGGCACUUGUAGGAGGCUGAGGUGAGAGAAUCUCUUGAACCCAGGAGGCAGAGGCUGCACUGAGCUGAGAUCAUGCCACUGCACUCCAGCCUGGGCAACAAAGGGAGAUCAUGUCUUAAAAACAAACAAACAGGUAUUUGGAGCAAGCAAUGGACCCAGUGACAGUAACAAUUUCAAAGCAAGUAGAGAUCCAAUGGCAAAGAUGGGAGAGGAACAGCCUCAAUGUGUAGGAAAAGGUGGCUAUAACUACAAAAGCCAAGACUGUGUAUGGGGACAGGUGAGGGAGAGGAUUCACUGCCUGUGAUCCCCUGGCCAGUCGGGGAUCCAUCCAUUUCACACAUGGAUGCCGAGAAAAAGAUGUCUGAGAGGGCAGUGGGCAAGAAGAACAGUUGUGGCCGACUAGCGAGGGGAUCACAGGCAGAAACAUCAACCCUUUAAGAUGCCAUGAGCAUUGCUGCCUGAAGGUGGCAUCUCUCACUCUGAAGAAUUCCUGUGAAGAUUAAGAAGCCUUGCAAUACAUUUUUGGAAGGUCAGUUCACAUCUGUUUUCUAUUUGUCAUAUUCUGUCAGCACUUCUGUGAGAACUGAGCCAUUACACCAGCCUUGGAAGCCAGAGGCAGCUGGAUCCUUCAGGCCUGGCAUCUCCCAGGCCCGCGGUCCUACCUCAGUGGAGGAAGAGUGGGAACUGCUGUGCAUUCCAACUUCAGUUCCCUGUGUGUGCCGCUGCCACCAUCGCUCACCUGCAAACUGCUUCAAAGAGCAAACAGGCACUAAGAAUUCAGCCUGGUGAAUCCAUUGUUCUCCUCCCCAUAAAACAACAAACAACUUAGAGGCUUUUCAAUCCUCUGAUGUGUUUAAUUUGUUAUCUAGCAACAAAAAGAAGGAAAAGAAAAAGAAAUUCUCCCAAAUUCUAUGCAAUUUACAGUCCUGCAACUACAUACGGAACUGGGAUUUGCCUGAGAGACAUAUUGCAAAACAAUCGGCCCCAAGGAAAAUUCCAGAACUCAACAACACUCACAGUGGCCUAGUGAUGGUUAUCAGAAUGGUGUUUCUAAAUGGUGCUUAUCAGUGUGCAGAGUCACUUAUCACCAGUAGGCAAAGAGUUCCAUGGAUGUGGUUCAAAGGGCAGCCCAAGAAGCACCUGGGUCACAUUCCUGCCCAUCUGCCUGCAGCCCUCCCACGCCAGUAGGUAACCUAGACUUGCUUCACAGGGUCGGGGUUUGGGAAGACAAGGCAUCUAUGACAGGCUACUUCGCUCAGAUCAAUGUGUAACAAUCAAUGCCCAGUGCUUAAUUUUAA
Molecule: long non-coding RNA, 1867 nt
Filed under: Homo sapiens (human)
Lineage: Eukaryota; Metazoa; Chordata; Mammalia; Primates; Hominidae
Description: HSALNT0191114
Source: RNAcentral